UCUGGUUGAUCCUGGCGGAGGCCAUUGCUAUUGGGAUCCGAUUUAGCCAUGCUAGUUGUACGAGUUCAGACUCGUAGCGAAUAGCUCAGUAACACGUGGCCAAACUACCCUUCGGACCACAAUACCCUCGGGAAACUGAGGUUAAUAGUGUAUCCCACACUCGGACUGGAAUGUCGAGUGUGACAAACGCUCCGGCGCCGAAGGAUGUGGCUGCGGCCGAUUAGGUAGACGGUGGGGUAACGGCCCACCGUGCCAAUAAUCGGUACGGGUCAUGAGAGUGAGAACCCGGAGACGGAAUCUGAGACAAGAUUCCGGGCCCUACGGGGCGCAGCAGGCGCGAAACCUUUACACUGCACGCCAGUGCGAUAAGGGGAUCCCAAGUGCGCAGGCAUAGAGCCUGCGCUUUUGUCCACCCUAGGGAGGUGGACGAAUAAGGGCUGGGCAAGACCGGUGCCAGCCGCCGCGGUAAUACCGGCAGCCCGAGUGAUGGCCGAUCUUAUUGGGCCUAAAGCGUCCGUAGCUGGCCGCGCAAGUCCAUCGGGAAAUCCACCCGCUCAACGGGUGGCCGUCCGGUGGAAACUGCACGGCUUGGGACCGGAAGGCGCGACGGGUACGUCCGGGGUA
Molecule: ribosomal RNA, 624 nt
Filed under: uncultured archaeon
Lineage: Archaea
Description: bacterial SSU rRNA
Rfam family: Archaeal small subunit ribosomal RNA
Source: RNAcentral